GGUGAGUAACACGUGGGUGAUCUGCCCUGCACUCUGGGAUAAGCCUGGGAAACUGGGUCUAAUACCGGAUAGGACCAUGCUUUAGUGUGUGUGGUGGAAAGUUUUUCGGUGUAGGAUGAGCCCGCGGCCUAUCAGCUUGUUGGUGGGGUAAUGGCCUACCAAGGCGGCGACGGGUAGCCGGACUGAGAGGGUGUACGGCCACAUUGGGACUGAGAUACGGCCCAG
This 225-nucleotide ribosomal RNA is filed under the name uncultured Actinomycetales bacterium. Its description in RNAcentral is "partial 16S ribosomal RNA". It matches the Rfam family "Bacterial small subunit ribosomal RNA", at positions 105 to 334 of the family's 1533-position model. The record is from RNAcentral. Lineage: Bacteria; Bacillati; Actinomycetota; Actinomycetes; Actinomycetales.